AUUGAACGCUGGCGGCAUGCCUUACACAUGCAAGUCGAACGGCAGCACGGGAGCAAUCCUGGUGGCGAGUGGCGAACGGGUGAGUAAUAUAUCGGAACGUGCCCAGUAGUGGGGGAUAGCCCGGCGAAAGCCGGAUUAAUACCGCAUGAGACCUGAGGGUGAAAGCGGGGGAUCGCAAGACCUCGCGCUAUUGGAGCGGCCGAUAUCAGAUUAGCUAGUUGGUGGGGUAAAGGCCUACCAAGGCAACGAUCUGUAGUUGGUCUGAGAGGACGACCAGCCACACUGGGACUGAGACACGGCCCAGACUCCUACGGGAGGCAGCAGUGGGGAAUUUUGGACAAUGGGCGCAAGCCUGAUCCAGCAAUGCCGCGUGCAGGAAGAAGGCCUCGGUUGUAACUAGCUUUGUCUAGGGAGAAAGUACC
RNAcentral lists this ribosomal RNA (422 nucleotides) under uncultured bacterium. Its description in RNAcentral is "bacterial SSU rRNA". It matches the Rfam family "Bacterial small subunit ribosomal RNA", at positions 29 to 454 of the family's 1533-position model. The record is from RNAcentral.